This 497-nucleotide ribosomal RNA is filed under the name uncultured bacterium. RNAcentral's name for it is "partial 16S ribosomal RNA". It matches the Rfam family "Bacterial small subunit ribosomal RNA", at positions 28 to 507 of the family's 1533-position model. The record is from RNAcentral.
GACGAACGCUGGCGGCGUGCCUAAUACAUGCAAGUUGAGCGCUGAAGGUUGGUGCUUGUUCCUACUGGAUUAGCAGCGAACGGGUGAGUAACGCGUGGGUAAUCUGCCUUUGAGCGUGGGACAACUUUUGGAAACGAAUGCUAAUACCGCAUAAAAUCUUUAAACACAAGUUUUAAUUUUGAAAGAUGCAAUUGCAUCCCUUAAAGAUUAUCCCGCGUUGUAUUAGCUUGUUUGUGAGGUAAAGGCUCUACAAGGCGAACAUACAUAACCGACCUGAGAGGGGGAUCGGCCACAUUGGGACUGGGACAAGGCCCAAACUCCCAAGGGGAGGAGCAGUAAGGGAUCUUCGGCAAAGGAGGGAAGUCUGACCGGGGAAAGCCGGGUGAGUGAAGAAGGGUUUCGGAUUGUAAAAAUCUGUUGGUAGAGAAGAAAGAUAGGGGGAAGGGAAAGCGCAUGAAGUGACGGUAACUACUCAGAAAGGGACGGCUAACUACGUG